UCCCAUGAGAUUGGCCACGUCCGUAACUCCACCAGACACUACCUAUUUCAGGUCCUACUGAGAUUUCUAGACCAACCUUCACCAAACUUGGCACACCUGCUGCUGGGCUUUGACAUUAGGAAGUCUGUAAACAGAACUCUGCUCCAGGACCCAGGUAUCCUAGGGUCACCUAAGACCUGUCUACAUGCGGUCCUGUCCCUGUUAGAGAGGGGGGUGGGGACACACUCAGGCCCCAUCUGCCUGAUGGACAUUCCAUGACUGUCUGAGCUGGCCUAUACAAACACAUCUACCUUCUGGCUGCCAACAAGAAGACGUCGACGCCCACUUUACGAUAUUUACGUACAACCAGGGACUUCCUGUUCAGGCAGCUCCAGCAUUUACCUUUCACUCAGCAGUUUUAUAAACGCCCUGUAAUGAUUUCCCAAUCCUGGUUGCUGAAGCUGAUAGCCAUUGAACUGCGACUGACUGCACUGAACCGUCAAAGGUCACACACACUGAGGUUAAUGAAGGCCCUGCUGGAUGAUGGGUCAGAAGGUCAAACAGUGUUACAGCCAGCAUUAGGAGACGAAGCUGACCUGACGUAUGACAGAUUUACAGAACAGAGUCUACAGACAUCUUAUCUGUCUCAGACAGCAAGCCUGUUCAGGAGCCGCCAAGUGAGCAGGAAGUUACUAGGAUUUCUGUAUGAAGUUGACUUUUCACAGCGUUACCCUCCUACAAUGAAGUUGGAGUUUUUCAAAUUGUCGAUGAUUGAAUUAUAGCCAUUAAAAGUGUAGAAACUUGGACCGAACAGGACAUUUUGUAUUGUGAUGUCAAACGACUUCACUGCCUACUGAUGAACGAACUUAACAACUACCAGGGCAACAUCACAGUGACUCAGAGACCUCGAGUUUUAGAGGAAGUGGAGAAUAUUCUGCAUCACAUGGUGCUACGUAACAGAAUCCGACAGGAACUGUCCACCAAACAGCAGGCUCUGGAGGCGUGGCGUCAUGUGACAGAGGUUCUGUUGACUGCAUGUCCUGAGGACCUA
Saccostrea cuccullata (small rock oyster) is the source of this 1030-nucleotide long non-coding RNA. RefSeq lists it as uncharacterized. The record is from RefSeq and is a predicted model, not a curated record. NCBI's taxonomy places the organism in Eukaryota, Metazoa, Mollusca, Bivalvia, Ostreida, Ostreidae. The transcript has 6 exons.